AAAGUCAUUGAUAAUGCCCCUACAAAGUAGGUACUAUUAUUUUCCUCAUUUGAUAGGCGAGAAAACAGAAAAGUGGUUAUGUAACCUAUCCAAGGACAUUCGGAUUUAUGUGACAGAAGAGGGGUUUAAAUGUAAGCAUCUGGACUCCAGAAGUCACCCUCUUACUGCUGUGCUGUAAUGCAGUAGUCCUCAGCCUUUAUGGCACUAGGGACCAGUUUCAUGGAAGGCAAUUUUUCCAUAGAUGGCAGGGUGGGGGGAUGGUUUUAAGAUGAUUCAAAUACAUAACAUUCAUCAUUAGAUUCUCAUACCAGUCCGUGGCCCGGGGGUUGCGGACCCCUGCUCUAGUGCCUCUCCCAGUGUCCAAAUGCACAUUUAUCCUUUCAUUCAGCAAACACAUGUGUUAAGCAUUGUUCUAGGCACAGGAGAACAAGACAGACAAGGUCCCUGUCCUCAUAACGUGUAUAUUACAGUAGGAGAGACAGCAAAUGAACAUGUGAGCAAAUGAACAAACAAAUGUAUUCAGAGAGAGAAGGAUAUAAAGAAUUAAACAGAGUAACAUCACAUAGAGGCCCAAGAUGGGGCAUCUUUACAAAGUGUGGUCAGAGAAGACCUUGCUGAGGAGGUGGCAUUAGUGCUGAGACCUGAAGGAGAGGAGGGUAGAGGAAGAGCAUCCAGAGGGAGGAGUCAAAGCAAAACCAGGAAUGAGGAUGCUGUGUCCAAGGAGCAGAAAGAUGGCCAGCGUGGCUGGUCCAUGUGAGUGCAAGGCCAGAGUGGGGGAUGGGGGCCACAUCAGUGCAAGGCUCUGUCAGGCAGAGUUCAGAUAUUGUUCUACAUAUCACAGGAAGGCACUGCCAGGUCUUAGGCAGGGAGUGACAUGGCCUCAUGCGUUUCCAUGGCUUGAGUAAGCCUCAGAACACAGUCAGGAGACCCCAAAGAGUUUGUGCCUGUUUCAGGAUAAUAGACCAUCCCCCAAGGCUGGGUCUCUGGGGGGUGUGCAUGUCAAGGAGGGAGACUUGUGUGCGAGGCAGCACCCUCAAGUACAGCUCAUGCUGUUAGCAGCAGCAUGCAGUGGCGGUUGUGUAGAAGAGAACAAAACACCAGAACUUUAGUGCAGCUCAGGAAUCCUUAACCUUAUGUGGCUCUCUGUGGGUUCUAAGUCUCCCUUCAGAAAUCCUGUUUCAGUGUUGCCACCUUUCCUAGCCAUGAGCCUAAGCUUCAGAUGCACAACUUUUCUUCUGCACAUCAGAAACAGGUUUGCCUUCUUCCUUUCAAGAUGGGUGGGUGUUGUUGGUUUUCUCCUCCAUGUAAACAGGCAGCAGCAGAAGUGGUCCUGACCCAGAUGCCCUGACAGCUUUUCCUGGUGUGAUUUUGGAAGUUAACCCUUGAACAGAAUGGGUUUGAACUGCGCAGCUUCACUUAAAUGCAUGGAUUUUCUUCUGCCUCCACCACCUCUGAGACAGCAAGAUCAGCCCCUCCUCCUCUCAGCCUACUCAAUGCAAAGAAGACAAGGAUGAAGACCUUUAUGAUGAUCCACUUCCACUUAAUGAAUAGUAAAUAUAUUUUCUCUUCUUA
Molecule: long non-coding RNA, 1572 nt
Organism: Homo sapiens (human)
Lineage: Eukaryota; Metazoa; Chordata; Mammalia; Primates; Hominidae
Exons: 2
Source: RefSeq, a predicted model, not a curated record